UACGUAGGGUGCAAGCGUUAAUCGGAAUUACUGGGCGUAAAGCGUGCGCAGGCGGUGAUGUAAGACAGAUGUGAAAUCCCCGGGCUCAACCUGGGAACUGCAUUUGUGACUGCAAGGCUGGAGUGCGGCAGAGGGGGAUGGAAUUCCGCGUGUAGCAGUGAAAUGCGUAGAUAUGCGGAGGAACACCGAUGGCGAAGGCAAUCCCGUGGGCCUGCACUGACGCUCAUGCACGAAAGCGUGGGGAGCAAACAGG
This 253-nucleotide ribosomal RNA is filed under the name uncultured bacterium. RNAcentral's name for it is "partial 16S ribosomal RNA". It matches the Rfam family "Bacterial small subunit ribosomal RNA", at positions 524 to 776 of the family's 1533-position model. The record is from RNAcentral.